This 253-nucleotide ribosomal RNA is filed under the name uncultured bacterium. Its description in RNAcentral is "partial 16S ribosomal RNA". It matches the Rfam family "Bacterial small subunit ribosomal RNA", at positions 524 to 776 of the family's 1533-position model. The record is from RNAcentral.
UACAGAGGUCUCAAGCGUUGUUCGGAUUCAUUGGGCGUAAAGGGCGCGUAGGCGGCGGGGUAAGUCGGGUGUGAAAUCUCAGAGCUCAACUCUGAAACUGCACUCGAUACUACUCUGCUUGAGGACUAGAGAGGAGACUGGAAUUCACGGUGUAGCGGUGAAAUGCGCAGAUAUCAGGAGGAACACCGAUGGCGAAGGCAGUGUUCUGGGCCAGUACUGACGCUGAGGAGCGAAAGCGUGGGGAGCAAACAGG